Molecule: long non-coding RNA, 884 nt
Organism: Glycine soja
Lineage: Eukaryota; Viridiplantae; Streptophyta; Magnoliopsida; Fabales; Fabaceae
Exons: 2
Source: RefSeq, a predicted model, not a curated record
AUCAUAGUGUCCUCCCUCCAAAAAGAAGAGAAGAAAACAAAUAGAAAGUAUCAAAACUCUUGUCAUGCUGGACAAGCUCUCUCCCUGGCGUGUGAUUCAGAGGCUUUCUCUUAAAAAGGUUGCUCCGAACUUCCAAGAUGCCCAUCACUAGCAUUAUUCAUAUAAGAUAUUGGGGAUUGCCAUUUGAGGCUGCAUGCCUUCACUCAAGUACCAUUUGACUGUAAUCACAAGCUGCAACGUCAAGGUUUUUGGAGGUGUGGCCGCAUCAGCUGUAUUUAUCUGCAAUUUCUCACUGUACCAAAAAACGCAACGAAACAACAACUGCCACCACUGUGACCUCAAUUUAAAACCAAAAAAGUAAGUGGUUCGCAUAUUGUAAUGCUAAGGAGUGACAUGGGUGCUCUUUCUGUGCUGCUGGUUCUACUGAUAUUCUGCAAUUCUGGGAUUCUUGGUAUAGCUGGAGGUUUGUUGAAUUUCACAAGGUAUGCUAUACCACGUAAGAAUAUCUCUGGCAAUGGCAAAGCAGAGUUGGAAGACAAGAGAGGCGUGCCAUCAGGAGCUAAUCCUCUGCAUAAUCGGUAGAGUAGAGAGGACAUGGUGGUAUUUGGGACCACACAGAAAGUGAUGAUCACAGAGUAUUAGUUUUAGGAAUUAGGACCUCUCAAAGGGGCUAAAGGAAUCUGCUAUUCCUUUUGUUCCUGUUUGGAUGUUAUUGUUAUCUGAAACAUGGAAAAGUAUCAAAGCAUAUAACAAUUGCCUAAAAUAUUGAUUCUUUUUCUGUGCUCAUCUGACAUGUUUAUACAUGAGCUGUCUCUUGGUUUAGUAACACCUAAUGGAUGUCUUGCUUGCAUGCCUAUUAUAAUUAAUUGUUUUUUUUUUUUUAA